UGGAAGUCGCCGGAACCGUACGGAGAUCGACGAAGCUCUUUUCUUUCGUUUCGUCAAAGAAGAUAAUACGACCACGUAAAAUCACCGGAGCUCGAAGACGACAUCACGAUGGAACUCGUAAACCAGCAGCAUCGGUUAUCCGUUUCGUUCAUUCGGUUCCCCAAUCGCUACUCGUGCGUUAUUACAAGAAAUCGCAACGCAACAAUGUGA
Molecule: long non-coding RNA, 210 nt
Filed under: Helianthus annuus (common sunflower)
Lineage: Eukaryota; Viridiplantae; Streptophyta; Magnoliopsida; Asterales; Asteraceae
Description: sRNA HanXRQr2_Chr11g0506801
Source: RNAcentral